Long non-coding RNA from Rhincodon typus (whale shark), 2738 nucleotides. RefSeq lists it as uncharacterized. The transcript is spliced from 2 exons. The record is from RefSeq and is a predicted model, not a curated record. Lineage: Eukaryota; Metazoa; Chordata; Chondrichthyes; Orectolobiformes; Rhincodontidae.
CAGUAAAUGUUAGACUAGCCAGUGGUACCCACAUCCCUUGAAUGAAUGAUUUUUUUUUUUUUUAAAUGCCUUGAGCAGAAGCCUCAGCAAGGAUUAGUCGGGUUGAAUGAACUCUUUGUGUGCCAUAUAUCCUAUGUCAGUUGCAUAUGUAAACAUGUCAUGCUGUAAUUGCAUUCUUCAACCAGUGGAGGUGUUGCAGCUAUAAAUCAUAAUGCACUGAUACAUCCCUGUUAUGCCUGAUUGGUUGAGGUGUGCGGUCUGUGAAGCCAAUCAGGCAUAACAGAUAGGGAUUCUUCCAAUAAGUAGUGUUGUGUUUCUUGUUUGCUACCAGUUAAGCCUACCAGUGUGUCAUGAAGACAGCAGGUAGCUGAUUUUUGAAUGGAGGGGAACUAAUGAGUGGCCAGUCUUUCGAAAGUCAGCACCCAUCUUGUUGACUCAACUUGACUAUAUAACUAACAAAUGAAAAUUCUUGUCUUCCUAAAAGGUUAUAUUUGCCAAUAAAAUUGCCUCUGUGUUUUUAAAAUCUCUCCAAUAAUACUUCCCUCUUGGUUCUAGUUUAUAGACUUUGAAUUGCACCAGGUGGUAGUUUGAACGAAGGGACUCGGGAGAAAGACAUUUCUCCGAACGUACCAGAUUACCUGCAAAUAUUCUGGCCUGCAACUCCCAGACACAAGUUCAGACCUCUAAUAUUGAUUCCUACAUCUCAAAAUGCAUACCCAAAAAAUGAAUUCAUCAAAACAUAAAGCGGGAACAAGCCAUUCAAGAAAGUCCUGGCCGAGCUGAUCACAGCCAUUACUCCAACAUUGACUGCCCCACCUCCUCUAUACCCUAUUAACUCUGUGUAUUGAUACCAUAAAGCAAGUACAAAGUUAACUAUUUCUUUUGCAGAUCAGCUUUAGGAAGGAUGUACAAACUUUGGAGACAGUGCUGCAAAGAUUUACUAGAAUGGUACAAAAUAAGACAUGUUUUAUUGCCACUGGAUGUCUCCAUGCACUUUCACAGAGGUGUUUGAAGUGUGUUCCCUGUUACUGUCAGGAAAUAACAGCCAGAUGUACACAGUUAGAUCCCACAAACAACAAUAUAAUGAUCAUCAAUUCCAUGAUGUUGAUUUAAAGGAUAAAUAUUGGCCAGGACACUGGGAAUGACUUUAAUUCUUUCAGAUAUGGCAAUGAACUGUUUUACAUCUACUCCAACAGGCAGGUAUGAUCUCAGUUUAAAAUCUCAGCGGAAAAACUGCACAUUUGACAGCACUAUCUUUCCUCAGUUCAGCACUGGAGUGUUGGCUUUUAAUUGGAUGUGACUGGUAGAUUGAGUGAUUGGAGAAAUUGAGAUUAUUCGAAUUGCAGAGAAGGUGAAGACAAUAUUUGAUAUGAAUGUUCAAAAUUAAGGAGCCUUGAUCAAAUCAGUUGAAACCUUUUUACCGUUAGCGAACAGCUGACAAAUUAGUAGCUUGAGAAAGCAGAUUUUUAAGCUUGUUCUAAUCUAGUUUCAUUCCUGAAUGAAUCAUUUCCACUAUCCUAUCAUAACUUGCAGAAGGUUGUGAAUAUAUUGAGCCAAGAGUACUCUGCUUUCCUGUCAGCUUGCCCUACUCCUCAAUUCUUCAGUGGCAGGAUAUGCCGAAGUGGAAGUCAGGAUCUUGAGCAAGUUCAUGAGCUGAAUGUUUGUUUGGGGUCAUGACCUCCAAGACAGCGAUGGCUUCUGUGGAGCUCCAUCCAAGUUUAAAAACAAAUGGGUCCUGCACGCACAGACAUCAUCGCCCUUUCAUGUCCUUGAAAUUCACCUCUUUUCACCUUCCCAACUCCUUCAUGGUUCUUACUUGGACAUCACAACCGUUUCCAAGCUACAAAACAGGCAUCUUAAGUGGGAGAAAAUGUUUGUCCAAUUGUUCAAGAAUCUGUGUAGCUCUGCCUUCAAUAUAUUCAAUGACUUGGCCUCCACAGCUCUGGGGCCAGAGAGUUCCAAAGGUUCAACAAGAUUUGCUGAGAAAUUUUUACCUUGAUCUUAAAAUACGUGACUCCUUUACUCUAGAUUUCCCGCACAAAUGGAAAAUUACUUAUGGAAGGGGGAUUUUUCUUUCAGGAAAAAGACGCUUUAAGCGUUUUUUAGGUAAGCUCAUUGAGGCCUUUUUAUUUGCAAGGGCUGAAGAGGUAAGUGUUGUGGGGCCAUGUGUCGACCGACACACAAGCUUUGGGACUUCGUCACUUUCGUUCUCAAGUAGAUAAUGCUGACUGAUUUUGAUGUCUUGGUUUCCUCUCUCCCAAAAAAGGUAAUGGAACUUUAAAUAAAAUCCUUUUCAAGCCUCACAUCCAAUCAGUCGAGCAACAUAAGCCUCCAGUAAGGAAACAUGAACUCCACUUGGAGAUUUUUGGACUGUAAGUGCUGACUGUGCAGGCUAGUCUGCAACCUAUACACUUCCUUAUAAGAUUGGUAGCUACCAGUGUAACAAUGCCUCAAAACAUUGCAUUUUAGAAAAUCAUCAUUGAUGUUUGAGGUUAGCUGUCUCAUUUUUAUAUGUACAGUGAGACUGUGUAUCUAUUCUGCCAUUUGGUGGUAGUGACUGGUACUGCAACAGGAAGAGGCUGGGUUCUCAAUUUCUCACUGAUCUUAAAAAUUACAUUUCAGGGGGCUAACAGGCAGUUAAUAUCAGCUGUUCGUGGUUUGUAUGCAUAUUUCUUUCAUGGUCUCCAAAGAAUCUGAUAAAGCAUGAAGCUAAAAUAAAGAAAACCUCAUGAUUAUUA